RNAcentral lists this long non-coding RNA (433 nucleotides) under Homo sapiens (human). Its description in RNAcentral is "HSALNT0308834". The record is from RNAcentral. Lineage: Eukaryota; Metazoa; Chordata; Mammalia; Primates; Hominidae.
CAUGACUACGACAGCUCCCGUAACUUCAGACAACAGGAACAGUAUGUAAGAAGAGCUGCAUUAUCUAGAUUCUAGGUCUCAAAAUAUAAGGAAUGACCUCACGAGUCACAGCCCAGUUGUUCCUAUAUGUAGUUAGAAGGAGAUAUCUGAAGCUUCUAGUAUUGAUUAAGAAGUGGAGACCACCUCAUCUGUCCUCCUCAAUCUUAUUCAUGCACUACUGAGACGCACCUACAGGAGGAGAAACACUUCCAAGCACACGAUGUGAAUUUGUAUCUUUACACACCUAACAUACCGACUAUUCCUGAAUCCUUAUCCAGUUUGAAAGAGAAUACAAUGCAAGUAAAACCUGAAUUGAUUUUAGCCUGAUGUUUUCCCGUGGAACAGGGACUCAUAAAUCACUCCAUAUGUCAAACUCUGCCCUUCUUCCCCGAUU